This is an RNA transcript of Juglans microcarpa x Juglans regia, 742 nucleotides long. It is a transcript of the gene named acyl-coenzyme A thioesterase 13, with no coding region annotated. The record is from RefSeq and is a predicted model, not a curated record. The transcript has 4 exons. NCBI's taxonomy places the organism in Eukaryota, Viridiplantae, Streptophyta, Magnoliopsida, Fagales, Juglandaceae.
UAAAUAGCCACGCAUUAGCUGGAACAUAGAGAGACGAAGAGAGAAUGGAAGUGGAAGCAGUGAAGAGAUACCUGGAGAAAGGAGGAGAAGAGAACGCAGCCACGAUCGAUGGACUGCCUCUGAGAUUCUUCGAACGAUUCACCAUGCAAGGCCUUCGUGUCGAUCUCAUCGAACCCGGCCGUCUGAUCUGCUCCCUCAAAGUCCCCACUCGUUUACUGAACUCUGGUAAUUUCUUGCAUGGUGGAGCGACGGCAACACUGGUGGACAUGGUGGGAUCGGCUGUGAUAUACACUGUUGGAGCUCCAGUGACUGGAGUUUCGGUGGAGAUCAACGUUUCAUACUUGGAUGCUGCUUUUGCUGAUGAGGAAAUUGAGAUUGAGGGUAGGGUUUUACGUGUUGGGAAGGCUGUUGGAGUUGUCAGUGUUGAGUUGAGGAAGAAAAAGACUGGCAAAAUUAUUGCUCAGGGGCGUCAUACCAAGUACCUUGCUGUGCCUAGUAAGAUGUGAAAACGUGCUUCUAUUUUUUCGUUCAUUCGAAAAUGUUGUAGUUUCGUUCCCAUUGUAAAUAAAAUAAUGAUUGUUUAACAAUACAUGUGUUUGAAUUACCUAUUCUGGAGGUCUGGAUCUUUACCUACCCCUUCCAAUUUUUGCGAGUUCCCUCUUUCUUUUCUUUUUUUUGAUAGGCAAAUGUAAAUGUCUCAUGGCAUCUGAAUGGUCUUUGAAGAAUUUUCUGAUGUUGAUUA